GGAUUAGUGUUGAUGGUUCAACAUAUUAAUUGCAAAUUAAUUAUCUUUGAGUUCAAUUCUCAUCUAAUCUU
RNAcentral lists this transfer RNA (71 nucleotides) under Pachysolen tannophilus NRRL Y-2460. It matches the Rfam family "tRNA". Rfam says of the family: Transfer RNA (tRNA) molecules are approximately 80 nucleotides in length. Their secondary structure includes four short double-helical elements and three loops (D, anti-codon, and T loops). Further hydrogen bonds mediate the characteristic L-shaped molecular structure. tRNAs have two regions of fundamental functional importance: the anti-codon, which is responsible for specific mRNA codon recognition, and the 3' end, to which the tRNAs corresponding amino acid is attached (by aminoacyl-tRNA synthetases). tRNAs cope with the degeneracy of the genetic code in two manners: having more than one tRNA (with a specific anti-codon) for a particular amino acid; and 'wobble' base-pairing, i.e. permitting non-standard base-pairing at the 3rd anti-codon position. The record is from Rfam by way of RNAcentral. Lineage: Eukaryota; Fungi; Ascomycota; Pichiomycetes; Alaninales; Pachysolenaceae.